Molecule: transfer RNA, 75 nt
Filed under: Microcaldota archaeon
Lineage: Archaea; Nanobdellati; Microcaldota
Description: Candidatus Micrarchaeota archaeon (hot springs metagenome) tRNA-Arg
Rfam family: tRNA
About the family: Transfer RNA (tRNA) molecules are approximately 80 nucleotides in length.
Source: RNAcentral
GGGCCCGUAGCUCAGCCUGGACAGAGCGGCUGCCUUCUAAGCAGAUGGUCGUGGGUUCGAAUCCCACCGGGCCCG